This 505-nucleotide ribosomal RNA is filed under the name uncultured bacterium. RNAcentral describes it as "partial 16S ribosomal RNA". It matches the Rfam family "Bacterial small subunit ribosomal RNA", at positions 28 to 507 of the family's 1533-position model. The record is from RNAcentral.
GACGAACGCUGGCGGCGUGCCUAAUACAUGCAAGUAGAACGCACAGUUUAUACCGUAGCUUGCUACACCAUAGACUGUGAGUUGCGAACGGGUGAGUAACGCGUAGGUAACCUGCCUGGUAGCGGGGGAUAACUAUUGGAAACGAUAGCUAAUACCGCAUAAUAUUAAUUAUUGCAUGAUAAUUAAUUGAAAGGUGCAAUUGCACCACUACCAGAUGGACCCGCGUUGUAUUAGCUAGUAGGUGAGGUAACGGCUCACCUAGGCGACGAUACAUAGCCGACCUGAGAGGGUGAUCGGCCACACUGGGACUGAGACACGGCCCAGACUCCUACGGGAGGCAGCAGUAGGGAAUCUUCGGCAAUGGACGAAAGUCUGACCGAGCAACGCCGCGUGAGUGAAGAAGGUUUUCGGAUCGUAAAGCUCGGUUGUAAGAGAAGAACGGGUGUGAGAGUGGAAAGUUCACACUGUGACGGUAUCUUACCAGAAAGGGACGGCUAACUACGUG